CCUACGGGCGGCAGCAGUAGGGAAUAUUGCUCAAUGGGGGAAACCCUGAAGCAGCAACGCCGCGUGGAGGAUGAAGGUUUUCGGAUUGUAAACUCCUUUUGUUAGAGAAGAGAAUGACGGUAUCUAACGAAUAAGCACCGGCUAACUCCGUGCCAGCAGCCGCGGUAAUACGGAGGGCGCAAGCGUUACUCGGAAUCACUGGGCGUAAAGAGCGCGUAGGCGGGAUAGCAAGUCAGAUGUGAAAUCCUCUGGCUUAACCCUAGAACUGCAUUUGAAACUGGUAUUCUAGAGUAUGGGAGAGUUCGGUGGACUUCUUGGUGUAGCGGUCAAAUCCGU
Molecule: ribosomal RNA, 336 nt
Filed under: uncultured bacterium
Lineage: Bacteria
Description: partial 16S ribosomal RNA
Rfam family: Bacterial small subunit ribosomal RNA
Source: RNAcentral